This 304-nucleotide long non-coding RNA is filed under the name Homo sapiens (human). RNAcentral's name for it is "LHRI_LNC1704.1". Lineage: Eukaryota; Metazoa; Chordata; Mammalia; Primates; Hominidae. The record is from RNAcentral.
CUGCCUUCAGUGUUGAUCCUUUAUUCUUUCUAUCUGUCAGGUGCACAAGAUUACCCUCCUUUUUUAGCCUUCUGUCUUUCUUGUCACCAACCAUUCCUACUUGGUGGCCAUGUACUUGGAAAAAGGCCGCAUGAUCUUUCUGGCUCCACUCAGUGUCUAAGGCACCCUGCUUCCUUUGCUUGCAUCCCACAGACUAUUUCCCUCAUCCUAUUUACUGCAGCAAAUCUCUCCUUAGUUGAUGAUACUGUGUUUAUCUCCCUUUAAAACCCUACCUAUCCUGAAUGGUCUGUCAUUGUCUGCCUUU